This 745-nucleotide ribosomal RNA is filed under the name Lecidea cf. tessellata A. M. Fryday 9481. Its description in RNAcentral is "SSU rRNA". It matches the Rfam family "Bacterial small subunit ribosomal RNA", at positions 345 to 1191 of the family's 1533-position model. The record is from RNAcentral. Lineage: Eukaryota; Fungi; Ascomycota; Lecanoromycetes; Lecideales; Lecideaceae.
CCAGCAACUUGGAGGAAUGAACGGCAAUAGCUGGUUGCACUAUCAAUAACUUAGUGCAAAAUCGACUCUGUCGAAUAAAAUUCUAGGUAGAAGUAUGAUAAUGACAUUAUCUAUCUAUGUGUCUUGACCAAAUUACGUGCCAGCAGUCGCGGUAAUACGUAAAAGACUAGUGUUAUUCAUCUUUAAUAGGUUUAAAGGGUACUUAGACGGUAAAUCAAGCCCUAAAAGGGAACUAAUGUACUAGAGUUUGAUGUAAGGAAGUAUAAAAGUACUGUUGGUGUAGAGAUAAAAUUCUAUCAUACCAAACAUGGCACAGGUUUAGGCGAAAGCAUCUUCUUAUGUAAUAACUGACGUUGAAGGACGAAGGCUUUGUGUCUCGAACAGGAUUAGAUACCCCAGUAGUCUAAGCAGACAAUGAUGAAUGUCAUAGAUUAGAUUAGAUUUAAUUUAUUCUAUAAAUGAAAGUGUAAGCAUUCCACCUCAAGAGUAAUUUGGCAACAUUGGAACUGAAAUCAUUAGACCGUUUCUGAAACCAGUAGUGAAGUAUGUUGUUUAAUUAGAUGGUACGCAAAAAACCUUACCACAAUUUGAAUUAAUUUUAUAUUUACAAGCGUUGCACGGCUGUCUUCAGUUAAUGUCGUGAGAUUUUGGUUAGUUCCAUUAAAUUAACGUAAACCCUUACUUUAUUUUUAUAUAAAGUAGUUCACCGCUAUAUUGAAUAUGAUAAAAGGGACUAAGACAAGUC